UGGGGAAUAUUGGACAAUGGGAGCAACCCUGAUCCAGCCAUGCCGCGUGUGUGAAGAAGGCCCUCGGGUUGUAAAGCACUUUCAGCGAGGAAGAACGCCUAGCGGUUAAUACCCGCUAGGAAAGACAUCACUCGCAGAAGAAGCACCGGCUAACUCCGUGCCAGCAGCCGCGGUAAUACGGAGGGUGCAAGCGUUAAUCGGAAUUACUGGGCGUAAAGCGCGCGUAGGUGGCUUGAUAAGCCGGUUGUGAAAGCCCCGGGCUCAACCUGGGAACGGCAUCCGGAACUGUCAAGCUAGAGUGCAGGAGAGGAAGGUAGAAUUCCCGGUGUAGCGGUGAAAUGCGUAGAGAUCGGGAGGAAUACCAGUGGCGAAGGCGGCCUUCUGGACUGACACUGACACUGAGGUGCGAAAGCGUGGGUAGCAAACAGGAUUAGAUACCCAAGUAGUCCCUGAGCGGGCUGGCAAGGCGCAU
RNAcentral lists this ribosomal RNA (472 nucleotides) under uncultured bacterium. RNAcentral describes it as "bacterial SSU rRNA". It matches the Rfam family "Bacterial small subunit ribosomal RNA", at positions 355 to 825 of the family's 1533-position model. The record is from RNAcentral.